This 253-nucleotide ribosomal RNA is filed under the name uncultured bacterium. Its description in RNAcentral is "partial 16S ribosomal RNA". It matches the Rfam family "Bacterial small subunit ribosomal RNA", at positions 524 to 776 of the family's 1533-position model. The record is from RNAcentral.
UACGAAGGGGGCUAGCGUUGCUCGGAAUGACUGGGCGUAAAGGGCGCGUAGGCGGCAUGCACAGUCAGAUGUGAAAUUCCUGGGCUCAACCUGGGGACUGCAUUUGAUACGUGUAAGCUAGAGUGGAGAAGAGGGUUGUGGAAUUUCCAGUGUAGAGGUGAAAUUCGUAGAUAUUGGAAAGAACACCGGUGGCGAAGGCGGCGACCUGGUCCUUUACUGACGCUGAGGCGCGAAAGCGUGGGGAGCAAACAGG